AAAAUGGCGACUGUGUUUGACAACGUGCUCCUCGCAAGUUGGAGCGAAAAUGGACAGUUCGACUGCACAUCGGAGGUCCCCCAUCGAAUGGAAAUAUCACGGCAAACUGAAAGUUUAGCGUUAUCAUUUUACAAUGGCCAGGUAGAAGCAUCCACAGUGCCCAUCAACAAAGACACCGAGUUUUCUCGGUUGGGGAAGCUGGGAAUUACUGUCACUAAUGAUCAGACAUCACUCCUCAUCCGAUUCUCCAGUAUACACACAAUGAAGGCCUGCCUACAUAAACUAAAUGAAUACAAGAAUGGGACCAAAUCUGCAUUUAACGACAGAACAGAUGAAGCAUCAGCUGUCCAGUACUUCCAGUUCUACGGAUACCUGUCCCAGCAGCAGAACAUGAUGCAGGACUACAUCCGCACCUCCACCUACCAGAGAGCCAUGCUGGCCAACAUCGCAGACUUCCAGGACAAGGUUAUUCUGGAUGUUGGUGCUGGGUCAGGAAUUCUGUCAUUUUUCGCUAUCCAGGGCGGUGCUAAGAAAGUGUAUGCCAUUGAGGCUAGCAGUAUGGCCCAACACUGUGAGACCCUGGUAGCGACCAACAACUUGUCCAAUCGUAUAAUUGUUAUCCCUGGCAAAGUUGAGGAAGUGGAGGUGCCGGAGCAAGUGGACCUGAUCAUCUCUGAGCCCAUGGGAUACAUGCUGUUUAAUGAGAGGAUGCUGGAGAGCUUUCUGCAUGCCAAGAAGUGGUUGAGGCCGGGAGGAAAAAUGUACCCAUCACAAGGAGACCUACAUAUAGCACCAUUCACAGAUGAAUCGCUCUACAUGGAACAAUAUUCAAAAGCGAAUUUCUGGUAUCAAGAGUCAUUCCAUGGUGUGAACCUUACAAGUUUACGAAAUGCUUCAGUAGAAGAAUAUUUUAAACAGCCUAUUGUUGAUACAUUUGACAUCCAUAUAUGCAUGGCCAAGUCCAACAAGUACGUUGUGGACUUCCAGACAGCGGACGAGAAUGACCUUCACGUGAUGGAGAUUCCUGUUACCUUCAGUAUGAUGUCUUCAGGGAUGGUCCAUGGGUUGGCCUUCUGGUUUGAUGUGGCAUUCUUCGGCUCCGAGAACACUGUAUGGCUAUCGACGUCUCCGACUGAGCCCCUGACUCACUGGUACCAGGUGCGUUGUCUGGUGCAAUCCCCUGUCCUUGUCAAGCAGGGCCAAACCCUCACGGGGAAGGUGACACUCACUUGCAACACCAGGCAAAGUUAUGAUGUUGAUAUUGAACUAAACAUACCUGGGACUUCAAGCAAGUCAACCAACACACUAGAUUUAAAGAAUCCAUUCUUCCGCUACACUGGCCAGCCACCGCAGCCACCACCUGGCUGUAACUCAGCAUCUGCCACAGAUGUGUACUGGAAUUCACUCGCUACAGGCCAGACCUCCACGUACAUGAACGGCUUGAUGAAUGGCGUAGUUGACCAGGGUCAGUCCUUGCCCCAGCAGGGCGGAGCCGUACAGACAAACCUUAUAGCACGAAUGUCGUUGCCCCUAUCAACCCUGGCAGUAUUCCAAGCGUAGGGAGCCAAGUGUCCAAUUCUAACGCACACCGGACCUCCAUUGGUGGUGGUAUAAGUCCCAUCAACUUCACAAACUCUCAGAACGUGAUCAGUGGCGGGAUGGCACACUACCCCGUCAGUCAGCAGUUCAUGAUUGGCGACUAUGUUAUGCCUGGUAACGUUGUUGUGCCCACGACUACAGCAGUGGCCUCUGUAUAGUCUUCACCAGAAUCCACA
RNAcentral lists this unclassified non-coding RNA (1775 nucleotides) under Haliotis rufescens (red abalone). Its description in RNAcentral is "histone-arginine methyltransferase CARM1-like, transcript variant X7". Lineage: Eukaryota; Metazoa; Mollusca; Gastropoda; Lepetellida; Haliotidae. The record is from RNAcentral.